RNAcentral lists this ribosomal RNA (1534 nucleotides) under metagenome. RNAcentral's name for it is "bacterial SSU rRNA". It matches the Rfam family "Bacterial small subunit ribosomal RNA". The record is from RNAcentral.
AGAGUUUGAUCCUGGCUCAGAACGAACGCUGGCGGCGUGCCUAACACAUGCAAGUCGCACGAGAAAGGUCUUCGGACCGAGUAGAGUGGCGCACGGGUGAGUAAUACAUGGGAACAUUCCUAUGGGUGGGGGAUAACCACGGGAAACUGCGGCUAAUACCGCAUAGUCUCGAGAGAGUAAAGGUGGCUUAAAACCCACUAUCAAGCAGCUUCUUCGGAAGAUGCUUGAAUAGCGGGUAAAGCUAUCGCCGAUAGAUUGGCCCAUGUCCCAUUAGCUUGUUGGUGAGGUAACGGCUCACCAAGGCGACGAUGGGUAGCUGGUCUGAGAGGAUGAUCAGCCACACUGGAACUGAGACACGGUCCAGACUCCUACGGGAGGCAGCAGUGGGGAAUAUUGCACAAUGGGGGAAACCCUGAUGCAGCAACGCCGCGUGAGUGAAGAAGGCUCUUGGGUCGUAAAGCUCUUUCGGCUGGGAAGAAGGUGCGUACGGUGAAUAAUCGUACGAGCUGACGGUACCAGAAGAAGAAGGACCUGCUAACUGCGUGCCAGCAGCAGCGGUAAUACGUGGGGUCCGAGCGUUGUUCGGAAUUACUGGGCGUAAAGCGCACAUAGGCGGGCAAGUGUGUCGAUUGUGAAAUCCCUGGGCUAAACCUGGGAACUGCAGUCGAAACUAUUUGUCUUGAGUGCCUGAGAGGUUGGGGGAAUUCCUGGUGGAGUAGUGAAAUACGUAGAGAUCAGGAGGAACACCGGAGGCGAAGGCGCCUAACUGGCGGUGCACUGACGCUAAUUGUGCGAAAGCGCGGGGAUCAAACAGGAUUAGAUACCCUGGUAGUCCGCGCCGUAAACGAUGGAUACUCGGUGUUCGGAGCAUUAACCCUCUGAGUACCAAAGCACACGCAUUAAGUAUCCCGCCUGGGGAGUACGGUCGCAAGGCUAAAACUCAAAGGAAUUGACGGGGGCCCGCACAAGAGGUGGAGUAUGUGGUUUAAUUCGAAGCAACGCGCAGAACCUUACCUGGCCUUGACAUCCCACGAAGCUUGCAGAGAUGUAAGUGUGACUUCGGUCACGUGGUGACAGGUGCUGCAUGGCUGUCGUCAGCUCGUGUUGUGAAAUGUUCGGUUAAGUCCGGCAACGAGCGCAACCCCUAUCCUUAGUUACCAACAGUAAGAUGGGGACUCUAGGGAGACUGCCGGUGUUAAACCGGAGGAAGGCGGGGAUGACGUCAAGUCCUCAUGGCCCUUACGGCCAGGGCUACACACGUACUACAAUGGUCGAAACAAACCGUUCCGAAACCGUGAGGUGGAGGUAAUCGGAAAAACACGAUCUCAGUCCGGAUUGAAGUCUGCAACUCGACUUCAUGAAGUUGGAAUCUCUAGUAAUCGCAGAUCAGCACGCUGCGGUGAAUACGUUCCCGGGCCUUGUACACACCGCCCGUCACACCACGAAAGUGGUCAUAACCAGAAGUGUCUGAGCUAACGCAAGAGGCAAGAUACCAAGGUUGUGGCCGUGAUUGGGGUGAAGUCGUAACAAGGUA